RNAcentral lists this transfer RNA (74 nucleotides) under Candidatus Woesearchaeota archaeon. RNAcentral describes it as "tRNA-Arg". It matches the Rfam family "tRNA". Rfam says of the family: Transfer RNA (tRNA) molecules are approximately 80 nucleotides in length. Their secondary structure includes four short double-helical elements and three loops (D, anti-codon, and T loops). Lineage: Archaea; Nanobdellati; Candidatus Woesearchaeota. The record is from RNAcentral.
GCCCUUGUAGUAUAGCUUGGAUAGUACACGAGCUUGCGGAGCUUGUAACCUGGGUUCGAAUCCCAGCGAGGGCG